Molecule: ribosomal RNA, 494 nt
Filed under: uncultured bacterium
Lineage: Bacteria
Description: partial 16S ribosomal RNA
Rfam family: Bacterial small subunit ribosomal RNA
Source: RNAcentral
GACGAACGCUGGCGGCGUGCUUAACACAUGCAAGUCGAACGGAAAGGCCUGCUUUCCCUUGUGGAUUGCGGGUACUCGCGUGUCGAACGGGUGAGUAACACGUGAGUUAUCUUCCCCCAACUUGGGUAUAAGCCUGGGAAACUGGGUCUAAUUCCCGAUAGGACUGCAGGGUGGUGCCUGUGGUUGAAAACGAUUUUCUUGUGGUUGGGGAUGAGCUGGCGGCCUAUCAGCUUGUUGGUGGGGUAAUGGCCGACCAAGGCGGGGACGGGUAGCCGGCCUGGGGGAGUGGGCGGCCACAGGGGAACGGAGAUACGGGGAAGACUACUACGGGAGGAAGCAGUGGGGAAUAUUGAGCAAUGGGCGGAAGACUGAUGGAGCGAGGCCGCGUGGGGGAUGACGGCCGUGGGGUUGUAAACUCCUGUCGACAGCGAGGAAGCGACCUGGUUGGAAGGGUGGUGACGGUAGUGGUAGAAGAAGCACCGGCUAACUACGUG